GCCAGAGAUAUUUUUAAAGUUUGAAUAAAUAUCUUCCAGCUUCUUCCAUUCACCCCUGUAGUAUCUAAUUCAGCUCACAAUAACAACCAUGGGGAUGCACACAGACGACGAUUCGCAUGAUCUCAAGCGCGUCAAAUACGACGGCGACGACGACGGUGAUUACGCCGAUGUAGACGACGACGACAGUUCAGGUUUGAGAUUAGGCGAUUUUUUAAAUCCAAUGAUUCCGACUUCAAUUGUGGUUUCGGAUGCUAUGGAACCAGAUUUUCCGGUAAUUUAUGUUAAUAAGGUGUUCGAAUACGUCACCGGUUAUCGCGCCGAUGAAGUCCUUGGCCGGAACUGUCGUUUCUUGCAGUACAGAGACCCCCGAGCGCAAAGGCGGCACCCGUUGGUGGAUCCUGUUUGUGUUUCAGAGAUCAGAACAUGUUUAGAUGAAGGUAUUCAUUUCCAAGGGGAGCUUCUCAACUUCAGAAAAGACGGUACUCCUCUGGUUAACCGGCUAAGACUCACUCCCAUACAUGGUGAUGAUGGUGUAAUUACACAUAUUAUAGGCAUUCAGGUGUUUACGGAAACGAAAAUUGAUCUGAAUAGUGUGUCAUACCCUGUUUUUAAAGAAACUGCUAGUAAUCAACCAACUGCACGUGAAUCGGAGUAUACAGAAGGUCCGGAGAUGUGUGGGAUUCUUCAACUGUCUGAUGAUGUAAUGGCUCAGAACAUUUUGUCACGGUUGACUCCUAGAGAUGUAGCUUCUAUUGGAUCUGUUUGUAGAAGAAUCCGGCAGCUUACGAAGAACGAGCAUGUUAGAAAAAUGGUGUGUCAGAAUGCUUGGGGAAGAGAAGUGACGUGCGCGUUGGAACGCAUGACAAACAAGCUAGGUUGGGGUCGUCUUGCUCGUGAACUCACCACUCUUGAAGCUGUUUGUUGGAAGAAACUCAGAGUCGGUGGAGCAGUCGAGCCGUCACGUUGCAAUUUCAGUGCAUGUGCUGCUGGUAACCGGUUAGUAUUGUUUGGUGGGGAAGGGGUUAACAUGCAACCGAUGGAUGAUACGUUUGUUCUCAAUCUUGAUGCUGUGAAUCCAGAAUGGCGGCAGGUUCGUGUGAAGUCGGCUCCACCGGGUCGGUGGGGCCACACACUCACGUGCCUCAACGGUUCUUGGUUAGUGGUGUUUGGUGGGUGUGGGAAACAAGGAAUGCUGAAUGAUGUGUUUGUUCUUGAUCUAGACGCCAAACAACCGACAUGGAUAGAAGUGUAUGGUGGCGGUCCGCCGCCGCCAAGAUCUUGGCACAGCUCGUGCACAAUAGAAGGGUCAAAGCUAGUGGUUUCAGGUGGGUGCACUGCCGCAGGAGUUCUUCUCAACGACACCUUUUUACUCGAUCUCACAAUGGAGAAACCAGUGUGGAGAGAGAUUCCAACUUCGUGGGUGCCACCGUCUCGUUUGGGACAUUCGCUCUCGGUUUACGGGAGGACUAAGAUUUUAAUGUUUGGCGGGCUUGCUAAGAGUGGUCAUUUAAGGUUAAGAUCGAGUGAGGCGUACACUAUCGAUCUGGUGGACGAGAAACCGCAAUGGCGGGUUUUGGAAUGCAAUGCGUUUACAGGGGUAGGGACACAGAGUGCGGUGGUUCCACCGCCACGGCUUGACCAUGUGGCAAUGAGUAUGCCAUGUGGGCGUGUUAUAAUAUUCGGUGGUUCGAUUGCUGGGCUGCACUCUCCAUCUCAAGUGUUCUUGUUGGUCCCAUCAGAGGAGAAACCGUCUUGGAGGAUUCUAAACGUACCUGGUGAACCUCCGAAGUUUGCUUGGGGUCAUAGUACUUGUGUGGUUGGGGGUACUCGGGUUCUUGUGUUGGGUGGUCACACAGGUGAAGAAUGGGUUCUUAAUGAGUUGCAUGAACUGUGUUUGGCGAGCAGGCAGGCGUAGGCGUGGGCUUUGGUUGCAUAGCAAUCUGAAACCCCAUAUAGGAAACAUUAUGAAAGUUCAAUUUUAAAGAAGCAGAAGAUAUAGAAAUGAUUCAGUAAAUAAAUAUAUAAAACAAGGGAAAAUGUGUAAAAGCCAGUGGCUUAGAAAGGAGUUCAAUUCUGGUUUUCUAUCUCUGAGAGACUGGAGCCUCUACCACUCAGAAAGCUUAAAUCUCGAGCCCACUAAAGAAUUGAUAGGUGAAAUUUGGAGCAUCUGAAGCUCAACAACUCAUUAAAUAAACCACAUAGGAAACACUAGAGACCAUAAACAAGGAAACGAUGUGUUGGGAAUGAUUUUAUAAAGACAAAUGUAUUUUUGGGUGAGUUUAUGAAAAAAAAUAGGUUAAAGAGUUUUAUGUAAAACCAAGACCAUAAGUUUUGUUAAUGGUAAGUAGUUUUGAUAGUAAACCGUAUAGCAAGCGCUCGAGACCAUAAGUUUUGUUAAUAGUAGGUAGUUUUGAUUGGU
Helianthus annuus (common sunflower) is the source of this 2419-nucleotide RNA transcript. It is a transcript of the gene named adagio protein 3, with no coding region annotated. Lineage: Eukaryota; Viridiplantae; Streptophyta; Magnoliopsida; Asterales; Asteraceae. The transcript has 4 exons. The record is from RefSeq and is a predicted model, not a curated record.